GCCCCCGUGGCCCAACCGGCAGAGGCAGGCCACUUAAAAUGGCUCAAGUGCGGGUUCGAAUCCCGUCGGGGGCACCA
Molecule: transfer RNA, 77 nt
Filed under: Austwickia sp.
Lineage: Bacteria; Bacillati; Actinomycetota; Actinomycetes; Micrococcales; Dermatophilaceae
Description: tRNA-Leu
Rfam family: tRNA
About the family: Transfer RNA (tRNA) molecules are approximately 80 nucleotides in length.
Source: RNAcentral